AUCCCUUUCCAGUUCAUUCGUAUGAUGAUGAGUCACACUAUUGGGUGAAAUGUGUCUCCUACAAACCUUGUUACAAUGCUGGCACAUUACCCUUCUGACA
Molecule: small nucleolar RNA, 100 nt
Organism: Jaculus jaculus (lesser Egyptian jerboa)
Lineage: Eukaryota; Metazoa; Chordata; Mammalia; Rodentia; Dipodidae
Product: small nucleolar RNA U13
Exons: 1
Source: RefSeq, a predicted model, not a curated record